RNAcentral lists this ribosomal RNA (918 nucleotides) under uncultured organism. Its description in RNAcentral is "bacterial SSU rRNA". It matches the Rfam family "Bacterial small subunit ribosomal RNA", at positions 48 to 988 of the family's 1533-position model. The record is from RNAcentral.
CUAACACAUGCAAGUCGAACGAGAAGCCUGAUUUCGAUUAGGUGGAGAGUGGCGCACGGGUGAGUAACACAUGGCUGACCUGCCCUUCAGAGGGGGACAACCGAGCGGAAACGGUGGCUAAUACCCCAUACGCUCGCCGUGAUUAGCAGGCGGUGAGGAAACCUUCGGGGCUGAGGGAGGGGGCUGUGGCCCAUCAGCUAGUUGGUAGGGUAACGGCCUACCAAGGCAAAGACGGGUAGGGGGCCUGAGAGGGUGACCCCCCACACGGGCACUGAGACACGGGCCCGACUUCUACGGAAGGCAGCAGUGAGGGAUAUUGCCCAAUGGACGGAAGUCUGAGGCAGCAACGCCGCGUGCGGGAUGAAGGCCUUCGGGUUGUAAACCGCUUUUCUGCGCGAAGAGGAAGGACGGUAGCGCAGGAAGAAGUCUCGGCUAACUACGUGCCAGCAGCCGCGGUAAAACGUAGGAGGCGAGCGUUAUCCGGAUUUACUGGGUGUAAAGCGCGUGCAGGCGGUCAUGUAAGUGGUGCGUGAAAGCGCCCGGCUCAACCGGGCGAGGCCGUGCCAAACUGCGUGACUGGAGGCAGGUAGAGGCGCGUGGAAUUCCGGGUGUAGUGGUGAAAUGCGUAGAUAUCCGGAGGAACACCAGUGGCGACGGCGGCGCGCUGGGCCUGACCUGACGCUAAGACGCGAAAGCAUGGGGAGCGAACGGGAUUAGAAACCCCGGUAGUCCAUGCUGUAAACGCUGCAGACUAGGUGUUGCGUGCGACGAGUAUGCCAGUGCCGAAGCCAACGUGAUAAGUCUGCCACCUGGGGACUACGGCCGCAAGGUUAAAACUCAAAGGAAUUGACGGGGGCCCGCACAAGCAGCGAGGUUGUUAAUUGAGGCUACACGAAGACUUACCUUGGGCUUGACAUG